AGUAAACCAGAAACUGCAAUGCCGACUUCUAGACAAAGUAGAAGUUCCUCACUACACUGGUGCACAGAGCCUAUUGUGUGUUACUGGUGGUGGAAAAAAACAGGUCCAAGCGUCGAGAAUGCAUUCCAGCAAUUUCGAUUCAACUCGCCAAGCCAUGGAAAUGGCUACUGAAAACACGACAGCAGUUCAAGACAGUCCAAGUAAUUGUGUUACUACAAAUCAAGAUGCAGCUGCAAGCCAGUACUGGACACAAAGGGAGACACGUUGUUCAUGGACAACCUGGACAAAGCAGCAAAGAGGGACAUCAAACGGUGCCGCAAGCGACAGGCUUUGGCUAGUUGGCUGAAAGAACUCUUGGCUGAAGAGAAGUUGCAGUUUGCCGGGACAACUGAGGACAUGAUGUCUGAUAUGGAGACUGACCCCAGUGGAUUUUUGGUUUCCUCUCCUAGCUGGCGCUCUGCUGAGUUUGAGUACCUGAUCAAAUCAUCUGGCGAAUGAAUGAUAGCUAACCGCUCUUAUGGGUAGAAGAGGCAUCGCCAAAACGAAAACAGUUCCACUCGUCCACAACCAGCCCUACCCUGGACACCUGAUUUCUCAGAACACUUAAAGAGAAGAGAAGCUGUGUUUUACCGGGCCACUGAGGACAUGAUCUCUGGUUUGGAUACAGGAUUUUUGGUUUCCUGAUCAAAUUAGCUGACCAGCGAAUGUCAAUUGAACUGGACUGAUUUACACACACACACUCAAGUGUCAAUUUGAGAGACACUCUACUUGAUAUCGUUUUUAGUAUAUUUAUCAGGCUGUAGUUAUUUUGUUGUCCAUUACUUAAAAUGUUUUGCUAUUUGUUUUUAGCCUUUCUAUUGGCAAAUUGCUAUGAGGUUAGUAUUGCAUGAAGGUUUUGAAGUACUAUGUUUUUUGCACUUAAAAAAUAAAAGCAGUUUUUGAUGGGAUAACAAACCUUUUAGAUAAUUUUUCCACCUAGCUAGAUCAAUGCACAAAUAUUGGAUGGCCUAUAAUCUUCAGGCCCUCAGGUGGCACUGCAUUAAA
Molecule: long non-coding RNA, 1044 nt
Organism: Esox lucius (northern pike)
Lineage: Eukaryota; Metazoa; Chordata; Actinopteri; Esociformes; Esocidae
Exons: 3
Source: RefSeq, a predicted model, not a curated record